GAUUACUGCACUCCACUUGCUGGCUCAACUGCUGGGCACCCUGUAGGGACCCUCUUGGACCCCCUUGUAAGCCCUGGCCUACGCCUAGCAGGGCUGGUCGGUUGCACCCUUAUGUGACGGGCCCGGCGACGUCUUGCUGCAGCGGUAGCCUUGAGUGCCAGCAUCAGUCCUGUCCCAUUGCUGCUGUUCUGAACACGAGCAAGCUCCUCUCCAAGGCCCUUCACGAUAUCGAGGCUGGCCACCAAAAACAGUGUGAACCUCGGUGCUAAGGGCUUGAAUGCCACUGGGCUGUA
This is a long non-coding RNA of Rhipicephalus microplus (southern cattle tick), 293 nucleotides long. The record is from RefSeq and is a predicted model, not a curated record. Lineage: Eukaryota; Metazoa; Arthropoda; Arachnida; Ixodida; Ixodidae.